This 1554-nucleotide ribosomal RNA is filed under the name Escherichia coli. Its description in RNAcentral is "bacterial SSU rRNA". It matches the Rfam family "Bacterial small subunit ribosomal RNA". The record is from RNAcentral. Lineage: Bacteria; Pseudomonadati; Pseudomonadota; Gammaproteobacteria; Enterobacterales; Enterobacteriaceae.
AAAUUGAAGAGUUUGAUCAUGGCUCAGAUUGAACGCUGGCGGCAGGCCUAACACAUGCAAGUCGAACGGUAACAGGAAGAAGCUUGCUUCUUUGCUGACGAGUGGCGGACGGGUGAGUAAUGUCUGGGAAACUGCCUGAUGGAGGGGGAUAACUACUGGAAACGGUAGCUAAUACCGCAUAAUGUCGCAAGACCAAAGAGGGGGACCUUCGGGCCUCUUGCCAUCGGAUGUGCCCAGAUGGGAUUAGCUAGUAGGUGGGGUAACGGCUCACCUAGGCGACGAUCCCUAGCUGGUCUGAGAGGAUGACCAGCCACACUGGAACUGAGACACGGUCCAGACUCCUACGGGAGGCAGCAGUGGGGAAUAUUGCACAAUGGGCGCAAGCCUGAUGCAGCCAUGCCGCGUGUAUGAAGAAGGCCUUCGGGUUGUAAAGUACUUUCAGCGGGGAGGAAGGGAGUAAAGUUAAUACCUUUGCUCAUUGACGUUACCCGCAGAAGAAGCACCGGCUAACUCCGUGCCAGCAGCCGCGGUAAUACGGAGGGUGCAAGCGUUAAUCGGAAUUACUGGGCGUAAAGCGCACGCAGGCGGUUUGUUAAGUCAGAUGUGAAAUCCCCGGGCUCAACCUGGGAACUGCAUCUGAUACUGGCAAGCUUGAGUCUCGUAGAGGGGGGUAGAAUUCCAGGUGUAGCGGUGAAAUGCGUAGAGAUCUGGAGGAAUACCGGUGGCGAAGGCGGCCCCCUGGACGAAGACUGACGCUCAGGUGCGAAAGCGUGGGGAGCAAACAGGAUUAGAUACCCUGGUAGUCCACGCCGUAAACGAUGUCGACUUGGAGGUUGUGCCCUUGAGGCGUGGCUUCCGGAGCUAACGCGUUAAGUCGACCGCCUGGGGAGUACGGCCGCAAGGUUAAAACUCAAAUGAAUUGACGGGGGCCCGCACAAGCGGUGGAGCAUGUGGUUUAAUUCGAUGCAACGCGAAGAACCUUACCUGGUCUUGACAUCCACAGAACUUUCCAGAGAUGGAUUGGUGCCUUCGGGAACUGUGAGACAGGUGCUGCAUGGCUGUCGUCAGCUCGUGUUGUGAAAUGUUGGGUUAAGUCCCGCAACGAGCGCAACCCUUAUCCUUUGUUGCCAGCGGUCCGGCCGGGAACUCAAAGGAGACUGCCAGUGAUAAACUGGAGGAAGGUGGGGAUGACGUCAAGUCAUCAUGGCCCUUACGACCAGGGCUACACACGUGCUACAAUGGCGCAUACAAAGAGAAGCGACCUCGCGAGAGCAAGCGGACCUCAUAAAGUGCGUCGUAGUCCGGAUUGGAGUCUGCAACUCGACUCCAUGAAGUCGGAAUCGCUAGUAAUCGUGGAUCAGAAUGCCACGGUGAAUACGUUCCCGGGCCUUGUACACACCGCCCGUCACACCAUGGGAGUGGGUUGCAAAAGAAGUAGGUAGCUUAACCUUCGGGAGGGCGCUUACCACUUUGUGAUUCAUGACUGGGGUGAAGUCGUAACAAGGUAACCGUAGGGGAACCUGCGGUUGGAUCACCUCCUUACCUUAAAGAAGC